RNAcentral lists this long non-coding RNA (239 nucleotides) under Bos taurus (domestic cattle). RNAcentral describes it as "long non-coding RNA NONBTAT026129". The record is from RNAcentral. Lineage: Eukaryota; Metazoa; Chordata; Mammalia; Artiodactyla; Bovidae.
UAUAGCUGCUAAUGUAUGCACAUUUGGGGGUAUAUAUAUUUCUGAAGAGGUAAGCCGAUCAAAAUAAAUAGAGUGUACAUUCUUUUUAAUGCUUUAGUGAUUAAAUGUUUAGUAUUUUGAACUGAAAUGGAGAAAUACAUUUUGUGUGCAUAUUGUUUCAUAGCAAGAAUUGGUUGCAAAAAAAAUGCUUUAUUUUUGAACAAUGCUUGGAAAUAUUAUGUGAUUUUUUUGUUUGUUUG